ACUCCUACGGGAGGCAGCAGUGGGGAAUAUUGCACAAUGGGCGCAAGCCUGAUGCAGCCAUGCCGCGUGUAUGAAGAAGGCCUUCGGGUUGUAAAGUACUUUCAGCGGGGAGGAAGGCAAUACGGUUAAUAACCGUGUUGAUUGACGUUACCCGCAGAAGAAGCACCGGCUAACUCCGUGCCAGCAGCCGCGGUAAUACGGAGGGUGCAAGCGUUAAUCGGAAUUACUGGGCGUAAAGCGCACGCAGGCGGUCUGUCAAGUCGGAUGUGAAAUCCCCGGGCUCAACCUGGGAACUGCAUUCGAAACUGGCAGGCUUGAGUCUUGUAGAGGGGGGUAGAAUUCCAGGUGUAGCGGUGAAAUGCGUAGAGAUCUGGAGGAAUACCGGUGGCGAAGGCGGCCCCCUGGACAAAGACUGACGCUCAGGUGCGAAAGCGUGGGGAGCAAACAGGAUUAGAAACCCCUGUAGUCCC
RNAcentral lists this ribosomal RNA (470 nucleotides) under uncultured organism. RNAcentral describes it as "partial 16S ribosomal RNA". It matches the Rfam family "Bacterial small subunit ribosomal RNA", at positions 335 to 797 of the family's 1533-position model. The record is from RNAcentral.